ACGAACGCUGGCGGCGUGCCUAAUACCUGCAAGUCGAGCGAAGUUUUUCUGGUGCUUGCACUAGAAAAACUUAGCGGCGAACGGGUGAGUAACACGUAAAGAACCUGCCUCAUAGACUGGGACAACUAUUGGAAACGAUAGCUAAUACCGGAUAACAGUAUUUCUCGCAUGAGAGAUAUUUAAAAGUUGGUUAUGCUAACACUAUGAGAUGGCUUUGCGGUGCAUUAGCUAGUUGGUGGGGUAAAGGCCCACCAAGGCGACGAUGCAUAGCCGACCUGAGAGGGUGAUCGGCCACACUGGGACUGAGACACGGCCCAGACUCCUACGGGAGGCAGCAGUAGGGAAUCUUCCGCAAUGGGCGAAAGCCUGACGGAGCAACGCCGCGUGAGUGAAGAAGGAUUUCGGUUCGUAAAGCUCUGUUGUUAGGGAAGGAUGGAUAUGUAGUAACUAUACAUGUAAGAGACGGUACCUAACCAGAAAGCCACGGCUAACUACGUG
Molecule: ribosomal RNA, 498 nt
Filed under: uncultured bacterium
Lineage: Bacteria
Description: partial 16S ribosomal RNA
Rfam family: Bacterial small subunit ribosomal RNA
Source: RNAcentral